AACGAACGCUGGCGGCAGGCCUAACACAUGCAAGUCGAGCGGACCCUUCGGGGUUAGCGGCGGACGGGUGAGUAACGCGUGGGAAUAUGCCCUUCUCUACGGAAUAGUCCUGGGAAACUGGGGGUAAUACCGUAUACGCCCUUUGGGGGAAAGAUUUAUCGGGGAAGGAUUAGCCCGCGUUGGAUUAGGUAGUUGGUGGGGUAAUGGCCUACCAAGCCGAAGAUCCAUAGCUGGUUUGAGAGGAUGAUCAGCCACACUGGGACUGAGACACGGCCCAGACUCCUACGGGAGGCAGCAGUGGGGAAUCUUAGACAAUGGGGGCAACCCUGAUCGAGCCAUGCCGCGUGAGUGAUGAAGGCCUUAGGGUUGUAAAGCUCUUUCAGCUGGGAAGAUAAUGACGGUACCAGCAGAAGAAGCCCCGGCUAACUCCGUG
Molecule: ribosomal RNA, 433 nt
Filed under: uncultured bacterium
Lineage: Bacteria
Description: partial 16S ribosomal RNA
Rfam family: Bacterial small subunit ribosomal RNA
Source: RNAcentral